Molecule: long non-coding RNA, 1536 nt
Filed under: Marmota monax (woodchuck)
Lineage: Eukaryota; Metazoa; Chordata; Mammalia; Rodentia; Sciuridae
Source: RNAcentral
CAGAUAUGUCUUUUAUAUAGCAUAUAGUUGAAUUUUGUCUUUUAAAUAUAGUUUAAUAGUCCAUCUUUUAAUUAGCAUGUUUAAUAAUUACAUUUAAAUUUGAUUAUUUCAGAUCUACUUUUAUUUAAAUCUGCCAUCUUAUCUUCUUUGUAUUUGUCCUGUCUUUUAUUUCUUAUCUCCUCCUUUUGGAUUGAUAUUUUUAAUAUUUUCCAUUUCUCUUAUCCUUUAAAAUCUUAAAAUUUAUGUACUUUCAGUGUUAACUAAAGGCUUAUAAAUGCAUCCUUGGCUUAUCAAAGUUAAAUACUGUUAUUUUUAACCUGUUCUUGGGAAGUUUAAUAAUCUUAGAGCAUUUUUAAUGCCAUUUAUCACCACCCCCAUGUAAGUGCUAUUCUUUGAUGUUAAUUUUACACAAUCAAUAUUCAAAUAUAUUUACUCACAACUUAUUUUAUUUACUACUUCUUAUUCUUUUUUAUUUUUUAUACCCUUCAUCUGGUUAUAUCUUCUUUACUAAAAAUGCCCUUGGAUAUUCUUUUACAAUCAGUCUUCUGGCAAUGAGUUUUCUCAGUUUUUGUUUAUCCCACCAUGCCCCACUUCUUAAAAGUUCUGUUAUAUCCCAGUGGGAUCCAGUUGGGGACCAUGACUUAACACAUGAGCCUUUUCAGGACAUUCUAGAUCCAAACUAUAGAAGCACUAAUUUUCAGCAUUAGUUUUCUAGGGCUUUUGUAACACUAAACCAUAGACAGGGUAGCUUAAACAGCAACAAAAAAGUAUUUUCUUAUAGUAAAUCAAAAGUCAAGUAACUGGUCAAUUAGGUUCCUAGAGAGGGCUAUCGUCCUAAUUUGUCCACUGCCUUAUCACUGUGCUCUUACAUGGCAGAGAGAAGGCAUAAGCACACUGGGGUCUCUUCCUUUUCUUACCAGGGCACCAGCCCUAUUAGACUAGGGGCUUAAUCUUAAGACCUCAUUUAACUUUCUUACCUCUUCACAGGUCCUGUGUCCAAAUACAGUCAUAUUGGGGGGCUAGGACUUCAACACAUAAAUUUCAGAAUAUACAAAUAUUAACAUUUUGUUUAAAAAAAUGCUUUAAAUGUGUGUAUUUACUUUAAAUAUAUCAUCAUCUUCUGGCUUCCAUUGGUUCUGUUGAGAAGUCAACUCUGAGUGUAAUUGUAGCCCAUUUUGAGGUAAUUUUCCAUGUCCCCACCAUUUUACAGAUGAUCUUUUUGUUUGUGAUCAUCGUCAGUUUUACUAAGAUUUACCUCAGCAAGGACUUCUUUCUAUUAAACUUGUUGGACUCCAAAUGUUCCACUUUGGAAUGUCCCUAGCCAUGUUGCUGAAAUAUUUCUUCUGUCCCAUGUCUGUCCCUUCUUUUCCUGGAAAUACAAUUUGUUCACAGUUUAGACUUUCUCAUUCUGUUCUCUGUGCCUCUUAGCUUUGUUUCCAUAUUUUUAUCCUUUCCUCUGUGUUUCUUUGUAGUUUGAUUUGCAUUUCACUUUAGUAAUUCUCUCACUAUUUGCAUCUAAACUAGUGUUAAACCCAU